AUGUUACUGCUCAAGUUCGGGCAUUUGUCACUGCAAUUUUGGGUGGAUGUAUACACAUGUAUCGAGCAAAAUAGACUAAACUGGAUCCGACACAAUCAAGGAAAGCUACGAACUGAACUUUACAGUGGAUUGCAGGAUGCAAUUGAGCAAGGGGACACAAGAACAGAGCAAGUUGGAAAGAGGAUAAUUGUGCCUUCAUCGUUUACAGGUGGUAGAAGAAACAAGGCACAAUAUUUGCAAGAUGCCUUUGCAAUAUGUCGUUGGGCUGGAUACCCAGACCUAUUUAUAACAUUCACAUGCAAUGCAAAGUGGCCUGAGAUCCAAUACAUGCUAGAUGAAGCGGGAGGUGGCCAAAAGCCAGCCGAUCGGCCAGAUAUUGUGGACAGAGUAUUUAUGAUCAAACUAAAGGAGCUAAUGAGAGACAUAAAAGAAAAGAAAUACUUUGGAGAAACAGUUUCAUCUACACAAUAG
RNAcentral lists this ribosomal RNA (471 nucleotides) under Triticum aestivum (bread wheat). RNAcentral's name for it is "partial small subunit ribosomal RNA". The record is from RNAcentral. Lineage: Eukaryota; Viridiplantae; Streptophyta; Magnoliopsida; Poales; Poaceae.